UACGUAGGGUGCGAGCGUUGUCCGGAAUUAUUGGGCGUAAAGAGCUCGUAGGCGGUGUGUCACGUCGGCCGUGAAAACCUGCAGCUUAACUGUGGGCGUGCGGUCGAUACGGGCAUCACUGGAGUUCGGCAGGGGAGACUGGAAUUCCUGGUGUAGCGGUGAAAUGCGCAGAUAUCAGGAGGAACACCGGUGGCGAAGGCGGGUCACUGGCCCGGUACUGACGCUGAGGCGCGAAAGCGUGGGGAGCAAACAGG
RNAcentral lists this ribosomal RNA (254 nucleotides) under uncultured bacterium. Its description in RNAcentral is "partial 16S ribosomal RNA". It matches the Rfam family "Bacterial small subunit ribosomal RNA", at positions 524 to 776 of the family's 1533-position model. The record is from RNAcentral.